Molecule: ribosomal RNA, 494 nt
Filed under: uncultured bacterium
Lineage: Bacteria
Description: partial 16S ribosomal RNA
Rfam family: Bacterial small subunit ribosomal RNA
Source: RNAcentral
GAUGAACGCUGGCGGCGUGCCUAAUACAUGCAAGUCGAGCGAACAGACGAGGAGCUUGCUCCUCUGACGUUAGCGGCGGACGGGUGAGUAACACGUGGAUAACCUACCUAUAAGACUGGGAUAACUUCGGGAAACCGGAGCUAAUACCGGAUAAUAUAUUGAACCGCAUGGUUCAAUAGUGAAAGACGGUUUUGCUGUCACUUAUAGAUGGAUCCGCGCCGCAUUAGCUAGUUGGUAAGGUAACGGCUUACCAAGGCAACGAUGCGUAGCCGACCUGAGAGGGUGAUCGGCCACACUGGAACUGAGACCCGGUCCAGACUCCUACGGGAGGCAGAAGUAGGGAAUCUUCCGCAAUGGGCGAAAGCCUGACGGAGCAACGCCGCGUGAGUGAUGAAGGUCUUCGGAUCGUAAAACUCUGUUAUUAGGGAAGAACAAAUGUGUAAGUAACUAUGCACGUCUUGACGGUACCUAAUCAGAAAGCCACGGCUAACUAC